Molecule: ribosomal RNA, 541 nt
Filed under: uncultured bacterium
Lineage: Bacteria
Description: bacterial SSU rRNA
Rfam family: Bacterial small subunit ribosomal RNA
Source: RNAcentral
UAAGGAAUAUUGGACAAUGGACGCAAGUCUGAUCCAGCCAUGCCGCGUGAAGGAUGAAUGCCCUCUGGGUUGUAAACUUCUUUUACAGGGGAAGAAAGUUAUCUUUUUUAGGAUAUUUGACGGUACCCUAUGAAUAAGCACCGGCUAACUCCGUGCCAGCAGCCGCGGUAAUACGGAGGGUGCAAGCGUUAUCCGGAUUCACUGGGUUUAAAGGGUGCGUAGGCGGGUAUGUAAGUCAGUGGUGAAAUACCGGAGCUUAACUUCGGAACUGCCAUUGAUACUAUAUAUCUUGAAUAUUGUGGAGGUAAGCGGAAUAUGUCAUGUAGCGGUGAAAUGCUUAGAGAUGACAUAGAACACCGAUUGCGAAGGCAGCUUGCUACGCAAAUAUUGACGCUGAGGCACGAAAGCGUGGGGAUCAAACAGGAUUAGAUACCCUGGUAGUCCACGCCCUAAACGAUGAUUACUCGACAUUAGCGAUACACAGUUAGUGUCUGAGCGAAAGCAUUAAGUAAUCCACCUGGGAAGUACGACCGCAAGGUUG